This is a long non-coding RNA of Ostrea edulis (European flat oyster), 535 nucleotides long. RefSeq lists it as uncharacterized. NCBI's taxonomy places the organism in Eukaryota, Metazoa, Mollusca, Bivalvia, Ostreida, Ostreidae. The record is from RefSeq and is a predicted model, not a curated record. The transcript is spliced from 3 exons.
GGAUGGAACUCUUUUGUAUUUUGAGUUAAUGCACGUUUUUUCUUCGCGCCAGCAAUGUUUAGAGCAUUCUGUGUAUUCAUCUUUUCUUUUUGGUUCGCCACGGUCCUUUUACCACUUUCACUUGCACCUGUGCAACAUUAAAAGGAGGUUAGCUAUCUGCAGACUGCAUCUUGUCUAUGGCAGAAUACCAAGAUAAAAAUUUCCUUCCAAGUCCCUGCCUCAUGACAAUGAUGACCAGAGGACCUGCAUUGCCAACAAAUCAUGCAAACAGGCCUGACAUUUGAGUAGUUCUCAUUAUGAUGUAAAAAUAUAUUAAUCAUUGUUGUCAUCCACUAGAGCAAAAAGGUGGCAGGACAUUUCUAAAUUAUAUAAAAUUUAUGUGAUGUCUCGCUGCGCUUUCUAUAAUAUCGUUAAAUUAUUAUUAUCAUGUUUUUUUGUUUGUUGGUUUUUUUGUUGGUUUUUUUUGGUCCUAGGAGGUCUCAUUUGUUAAUAAUUUGAAUAAAUUUUGGAAGAAUUCAUAAGAUGUAAAAACGCA